AAAACGGCCCUUUUCAGGGCCACCAAAAUGUAUUAACCACCGUGU
This is a non-coding RNA of Acyrthosiphon pisum (pea aphid), 45 nucleotides long. The record is from Rfam. NCBI's taxonomy places the organism in Eukaryota, Metazoa, Arthropoda, Insecta, Hemiptera, Aphididae.